UUUCCUACGGGGCGCAGCAGUGAGGAAUAUUGGUCAAUGGGCGGAAGCCUGAACCAGCCAAGUCGCGUGAGGGAAUAAGGCCCUACGGGUCGUAAACCUCUUUUGCCGGGGAGCAAGGGCGGGGACGUGUCCCGGCCCGGAGAGUACCCGGAGAAAAAGCAUCGGCUAACUCCGUGCCAGCAGCCGCGGUAAUACGGAGGAUGCGAGCGUUAUCCGGAUUUACUGGGCGUAAAGGGAGCGUAGGCGGACUUUUAAGUGAGAUGUGAAAUACUCGGGCUCAACUUGAGUGCUGCAUUUCAAACUGG
RNAcentral lists this ribosomal RNA (305 nucleotides) under uncultured bacterium. RNAcentral's name for it is "bacterial SSU rRNA". It matches the Rfam family "Bacterial small subunit ribosomal RNA", at positions 335 to 636 of the family's 1533-position model. The record is from RNAcentral.